This 3440-nucleotide long non-coding RNA is filed under the name Mus musculus (house mouse). RNAcentral's name for it is "long non-coding RNA chr19:42159292-42162732". Lineage: Eukaryota; Metazoa; Chordata; Mammalia; Rodentia; Muridae. The record is from RNAcentral.
CUUAUUGUAGGGUAUGUAGAUAUCAGCUUGAUAUAACUCUAGCCAUGUUAAGCCAUGAUGGAGACCACUACUCCAAGGAAACAAACUUACCUGGUUUUUCCUGCAAAGCAUCAGAAGUUAAAAGUUUAGGGUCAGCCGGGCGUGGUGGCACAUGCCUUUAAUCCUAGCACUCGGGAGGCAGAGGCAGGUGGAUUUCUGAGUUCGAGGCUAGCCUGGUCUACAAAGUGAGUUCCAGGACAGCCAGGGCUACACAGAGAAACCCUGUCUCAAAAAAACAAAAAAACAAAAAAAAAAGUUUAGGGUCACAUGUGUGGGAAGGGGAUUAAAUUUGGAUCCUGCUUUUUUUCCUCUGGCGGCAGCCAUCAGGUGAGCCAAGAUGGGUGCAUACAAAUACAUCCAGGAGCUAUGGAGGAAGAAGCAGUCCGACGGGAUGUGCUUUCUUCUGAGGGUCCGCUGCUGGCAAUACCGCCAGCUCUCUGUGCUGCACAGGGCUCCCCGCCCCACCCGGUCUGAUAAAGCUCGAAGACUGGGGUACAAGGCUAAGCAAGGCUAUGUCAUUUACAGGAUUCGUGUCCGCCGUGGUGGUCGUAAACGCCCAGUUCCUAACUAAGGGUGUAAGCCUGUCCACCAUGGUGUUAACCAGCUGAAAUUUGCCCGAAGCCUUCAGUUUGUUGCUGAGGAGAGAGCUGGGCCCCAUUGUGGGGCUUUGAGAGUCCUGAAUUCCUACUGGGUUGGUGAAGAUUCCACAUAUAAAUUUUUUGAGGUUAUCCUCAUUGAUCCGUUCCAUAAAGCUAUCAGAAGAAAUCCUGACACCCAGUGGAUCACCAAACCAGUCCACAAACACAGAGAGAUGUGGGAAGCCACAUGUGCCGUUGUAGAGUGGCACUGACUACUGCUGGCCACCACGCAUAAGUUUGGACAAACAACCAAUGUGUACAUAUGCAGUAAAGUUUUUUUGCAAAGACACUGCCUGGCCCGGCAUGAUAAUGAGCUUCUGUAAGGUACUGAGAGUAUAACCAAUCAGAUGUGAGACAUGCAAAUGAGGUAUGAUAAUGAGGUUCUGUAAGGUACUGAGAGAGAGUAGCCAAUCAGAUGAGGAACAUGCAAAUGAGGCUUAGUGCAUAACCAAUCCGGGUGUGAGACACGCCUCUCCUAGGCCUAUAAAAGCAACACCAGUUCUGGGCUUGGGGUCUUUUCGCCUCUACAAUCAAGCUCUCCCAAUAAACGUGUGCAGAAGGAUCCUGUUGCAGCGUUGUUCUUCCUGGCCAGUCGAGCGCGCGCAAGAGAGAGAUGCGUGGGCUGACAUCUGCUGGCCGAAAGAGCAGUGGCCUUAGAAAAGGCCACAAGUUCCACCACACUAUUGGUGGUUCCUGCCGUGCAGCCUGGAGAAGGCGCAAUACUCUCCAGCUCCACCCUUACCACUAAUACACGUGAUAUUUGUAAAAUUCAUAUCCAAUAAACAAUUUAGGACAGUCAAAAAAAAUUGGAUCCUGAUUCUCCACAUGAAUUUGAUUAUUUGAUUUUGUUUUUCCAGAUAAAUAGAAUGCAUGCCAGUCCGGAUGAAGUCAGUUUUAUCCUAUUAGAAUUUCUGGCCUGAAUUGCAGAGGGCCUUGCUCUUUGCAACCCGUGACUACACCAUCUCUUCAGUCUCCCCCAACCCCCUUUUAAGACAGGUUCUUGCGAUACUGUUUUAGCUGGUUUGAUCAAUGUGGACACCAAGCUGGUCUAGAACUUGCAGUGAACCUCCUGCCUUUGCCUCCUGAGUGCUGGGAUUACAGACCAAAUCAUUCAUUUUUGUGACUGGGUGUAUUCCACUGUAUGGAAUUUAUUAUUAUUAUUAUUUAUUUAUCUAUUCACCUGCUGAUGGACACUUACAUUGUUUCAAAGGCUUCCUUAUAAAUGCAGUUACUAUGAGAACUGACCAAGCCUUCAUUGGGGCUUCAGUUUCCCUUGAUCUGUCAGUGAUGGUCAGUCAUGCAGUAGAUUUUCAUUUCUGAGAUGAGGUGGGUUGUGGUUUGGCUCAGCGUUUGUAUCAAGCAGGGUAAGGCUGGACCCAGGAUAAAUUAAGGAGUUUUUCAUCUUAUUCUAUGUGCCGGGAUAGUUUAUAUUUUGCAGGGAGGGGCUUGUUUGUUUGUUGGUCGGUUUUUGGUUUUGGUUUUGUUGUUUGGAAGGGGUUAAGACAGGGUCUCGAUAUGUAGCUGUCUCUGUCUGGUCUGGAAUUCACUCUGUAGACCAAGCUGGCCUCAAGCUCAGAGGCACUCAUCUGCCUAGGUGUCACCCCUCCCAUUAUUCCUGAGUGCUGGGAUUAAAAUGCAUUAUUACCAUGCUUGACUAGUUCCCCACCUCCCCAUGUUUUCAAACAGGGUUUGUGUAGCCUUGGCCAUUCUGGAACUCAUUUUGUAGACCAGGCUGGCCUUGAACUCACAGAGAUCUGUGUGCCUCUGCCUCCCAAGUGCUGGGAUUAAAGGCAUGUGUGACCAUUGCUUGGCUGCUAGUUUGGUUUUUAAAAAAGACGUUUAUUUUGGGGUUCAGUGGAUAAAAGGACUACUUGCUCUUGCAUUAGUACACGGUUCCAUUCCUAGUGCCCACAUGGUAGCUCACAACCAUCUGCAACUCUAGUUCCAGGGCAACUAAUACACCUGGUAUAGAUAUAGAUAUAGAUAUAGAUAUAGAUAUAGAUAUAGAUAUAGAUAUAGAUAUAGAUAUAGAUAUAGAUAUAGAUAUAGAUAUAUAUGAGGGCAAAGUCUGAAAUACAAAUAAAUCUUUUUAAAAAUAUUAUGUAUUAGUUUACUUUUGUGUGUGUGUGCAUGUGUGUUUGUAUGUGUAUGUAUGUGUGUGUGCACAUGCCACAGCACAGUUGUGGAGGCUGCAAGCAGGAAACAAAGAUCAUACUGGGAUUAGCAGGACCACUUUUUUGUUUGUUUGUUUGUUUGUUUGUUUGUUUGAAACUGGGUCUCACAAUGUAGAACAGGCUAGUCUCAAAAUCAGAGAUCUGCCAGCCUCUGCCUCCCAAGUGCCAGGAUUAAAGGUGUGCGCCACCACACCUGAACUAGAGAUUGAACUCAGGGCUUUGUGCACACUAGGGAAGCAUCUACUAUUCUGGGCCCAGAGUGUGAUUUCCCCCCCAAGAAAGAUGAAGGCUAUUAAGGCAGGCAUACAGGCACACACCUGUAACUUAGCCUUGGAGCCAGGAAGGUUAAAGCAGCAGAUCAAGAGCUUGAGAGCCAGAGACCAGCCUGGGCUGGAUACAGCAAGAACUUGUUGGGGCUGGAGCGAUGGCUCAGUGGUUAAGGGUACUGACUGCUCUUCCAGAGGUCCUGAGUUCAAGUCCCAGCAAUCAUAUGGCUCACAACUAUCUGUAAUGGGAUCUGAUGUCCUCUUCUGGUAUGUCUGAAGACAGCUACAGUGUACUCAUAUAAAUAAAAAUAGAUAAAUCUUAA